This 105-nucleotide small RNA is filed under the name Panthera leo (lion). RNAcentral describes it as "7SK RNA". It matches the Rfam family "7SK RNA", at positions 2 to 107 of the family's 331-position model. From Rfam's summary of the family: 7SK was discovered as an abundant small nuclear RNA in the mid-70s but a possible function has only recently been suggested. The record is from Rfam by way of RNAcentral. Lineage: Eukaryota; Metazoa; Chordata; Mammalia; Carnivora; Felidae. RNAcentral also lists the same sequence under 5 other names.
GAUGUCAGGGAGGUCUGGAUGCAGUAGCUGUCAUUUCCCUGGUUGCCAGGGAGCACCUGGCUGAUCUGGCUAACUGGGCAGGUGCCCUCUCCCCUCUGUUAUCUC